AGGACGAACGCUGGCGGCGUGCUUAACACAUGCAAGUCGAGCAGAAAGGCCCUUCGGGGUACUCGAGCGGCGAACGGGUGAGUAACACGUGAGCAACCUGCCCUUAGCUCUGGGAUAGCUCCGGGAAACCGGAAUUAAUACCGGAUACGACCUAGGCCGACAUCGGCCAUGGUGGAAAGUUUUUCGGCUAGGGAUGGACUCGCGGCCUAUCAGCUAGUUGGUGGGGUAAAGGCCUACCAAGGCGACGACGGGUA
RNAcentral lists this ribosomal RNA (254 nucleotides) under uncultured bacterium. RNAcentral's name for it is "partial small subunit ribosomal RNA". It matches the Rfam family "Bacterial small subunit ribosomal RNA", at positions 26 to 285 of the family's 1533-position model. The record is from RNAcentral.